AGGAUUAACGCUGGCGGCGUGCAUGAAACAUGCAAGUCGAGCGCGGUGUGAUGCGGGGUAACCCAAUUCACAUCUAGCGGCGAACGGGUGAGUAACACGUGAGCAACCUACCUUUGAGUUGGGGAUAGCCCUGGGAAACCAGGAUUAAUACCCGAUGUGGUCACAACAGGACAUCCUGAUGUGAGUAAAGGCGUAAGCCGCUCAAUGACGGGCUCGCGGCCUAUUAGCUUGUUGGUGAGGUAACGGCUCACCAAGGCUUCGACGGGUAGCUGGUCUGAGAGGACGAUCAGCCACACUGGGACUGAGACACGGCCCAGACUCCUACGGGAGGCAGCAGUGGGGAAUCUUGCACAAUGGGCGAAAGCCUGAUGCAGCAACGCCGCGUGAGGGACGAAGGCUUUCUGAGUUGUAAACCUCUUUCAGCGAGGGACGAUUGUGACGGUACUGCAGAGACGCCCGCACUACGUGCCAGCA
Molecule: ribosomal RNA, 474 nt
Filed under: uncultured bacterium
Lineage: Bacteria
Description: SSU rRNA
Rfam family: Bacterial small subunit ribosomal RNA
Source: RNAcentral